RNAcentral lists this non-coding RNA (31 nucleotides) under Mus musculus (house mouse). The record is from RNAcentral. Lineage: Eukaryota; Metazoa; Chordata; Mammalia; Rodentia; Muridae.
UCUCAUGGUACUGGCAUCUGCAAAACACUGC